UACGUAGGUGGCAAGCGUUACUCGGAAUCACUAGGCGUAAAGCGCAGGUAGGCGGUUCGAUAAGUCUUUUGUGAAAGCUCCUGGCUCAACUGGGAGAGGUCAAGGGAAACUGUCGAGCUAGAGUGUGGCAGAGGAAGCUGGAAUUCCCGGUGUAGCGGUGAAAUGCGUAGAUAUCGGGAGGAAUGCCUAUGGCGAAAGCAGGCUUCUGGCCCAUCUCUGACGCUGAUCUGCGACAGCUAGGGGAGCUAGCAGG
Molecule: ribosomal RNA, 253 nt
Filed under: uncultured bacterium
Lineage: Bacteria
Description: partial 16S ribosomal RNA
Rfam family: Bacterial small subunit ribosomal RNA
Source: RNAcentral